Molecule: microRNA precursor, 106 nt
Filed under: Pelobates cultripes (western spadefoot toad)
Lineage: Eukaryota; Metazoa; Chordata; Amphibia; Anura; Pelobatidae
Source: RNAcentral
CAGACCCUACCUCCCAGACCCUCCCACCUCCUGGACAGCUCACUAAGAAUGCAGCUUCAAAAUGGAUGCUGUCCAGGAGGUGGGAGGGUCUGGGAGGGAGGGUCUG